RNAcentral lists this ribosomal RNA (529 nucleotides) under uncultured bacterium. RNAcentral describes it as "bacterial SSU rRNA". It matches the Rfam family "Bacterial small subunit ribosomal RNA", at positions 16 to 518 of the family's 1533-position model. The record is from RNAcentral.
AUCCUGGCUUAGGACGAACGCUGGCGGCGUGCCUAAUACAUGCAAGUCGAACGGUCUUUCUAUGGAAGCUUGCUCCACUGAGAAGAUAGUGGCGAACGGGUGAGUAACACGUGGGUAACCUGCCCAUAAGAGGGGGGAUAACAUCCGGAAACGGGUGCUAAUACCGCAUAGUUUUCUUGAUCGCAUGAUCGGGAAAGGAAAGACGGCCUUUGUGCUGUCGCUUAUGGAUGGACCCGCGGCGUAUUAGUUAGUUGGUGAGGUAACGGCUCACCAAGACGAUGAUACGUAGCCGACCUGAGAGGGUGAUCGGCCACAUUGGGACUGAGACACGGCCCAAACUCCUACGGGAGGCAGCAGUAGGGAAUCUUCCGCAAUGGACGAAAGUCUGACGGAGCAACGCCGCGUGAGUGAAGAAAGGUUUUCGGAUCGUAAAACUCUGUUGUCAGAGAAGAACAAGUUGGAGAGUAACUGCUCCAGCCUUGACGGUAUCUGACCAGAAAGCCACGGCUAACUACGUGCCAGCAGCCGC